This 2905-nucleotide ribosomal RNA is filed under the name Salmonella enterica subsp. enterica serovar Newport str. USMARC-S3124.1. RNAcentral describes it as "bacterial LSU rRNA". It matches the Rfam family "Bacterial large subunit ribosomal RNA". Lineage: Bacteria; Pseudomonadati; Pseudomonadota; Gammaproteobacteria; Enterobacterales; Enterobacteriaceae. The record is from RNAcentral.
UUAAGCGACUAAGCGUACACGGUGGAUGCCCUGGCAGUCAGAGGCGAUGAAGGGCGUGCUAAUCUGCGAUAAGCGCCGGUAAGGUGAUAUGAACCGUUAUAACCGGCGAUACCCGAAUGGGGAAACCCAGUGUGACUCGUCACACUAUCAUUAACUGAAUCCAUAGGUUAAUGAGGCGAACCGGGGGAACUGAAACAUCUAAGUACCCCGAGGAAAAGAAAUCAACCGAGAUUCCCCCAGUAGCGGCGAGCGAACGGGGAGGAGCCCAGAGCCUGAAUCAGCAUGUGUGUUAGUGGAAGCGUCUGGAAAGGCGCGCGAUACAGGGUGACAGCCCCGUACACAAAAGCGCAUGUGCUGUGAGCUCGAUGAGUAGGGCGGGACACGUGGUAUCCUGUCUGAAUAUGGGGGGACCAUCCUCCAAGGCUAAAUACUCCUGACUGACCGAUAGUGAACCAGUACCGUGAGGGAAAGGCGAAAAGAACCCCGGCGAGGGGAGUGAAAAAGAACCUGAAACCGUGUACGUACAAGCAGUGGGAGCACAGGUUUACCUGUGUGACUGCGUACCUUUUGUAUAAUGGGUCAGCGACUUAUAUUCUGUAGCAAGGUUAACCGAAUAGGGGAGCCGGAGGGAAACCGAGUCUUAAUUGGGCGUUAAGUUGCAGGGUAUAGACCCGAAACCCGGUGAUCUAGCCAUGGGCAGGUUGAAGGUUGGGUAACACUAACUGGAGGACCGAACCGACUAAUGUUGAAAAAUUAGCGGAUGACCUGUGGCUGGGGGUGAAAGGCCAAUCAAACCGGGAGAUAGCUGGUUCUCCCCGAAAGCUAUUUAGGUAGCGCCUCGUGAAUUCAUCUCCGGGGGUAGAGCACUGUUUCGGCUAGGGGGCCAUCCCGGCUUACCAACCCGAUGCAAACUGCGAAUACCGGAGAAUGUUAUCACGGGAGACACACGGCGGGUGCUAACGUCCGUCGUGAAGAGGGAAACAACCCAGACCGCCAGCUAAGGUCCCAAAGUCAUGGUUAAGUGGGAAACGAUGUGGGAAGGCCCAGACAGCCAGGAUGUUGGCUUAGAAGCAGCCAUCAUUUAAAGAAAGCGUAAUAGCUCACUGGUCGAGUCGGCCUGCGCGGAAGAUGUAACGGGGCUAAACCAUGCACCGAAGCUGCGGCAGCGACACUGUGUGUUGUUGGGUAGGGGAGCGUUCUGUAAGCCUGUGAAGGUGGCCUGUGAGGGUUGCUGGAGGUAUCAGAAGUGCGAAUGCUGACAUAAGUAACGAUAAAGCGGGUGAAAAGCCCGCUCGCCGGAAGACCAAGGGUUCCUGUCCAACGUUAAUCGGGGCAGGGUGAGUCGACCCCUAAGGCGAGGCCGAAAGGCGUAGUCGAUGGGAAACAGGUUAAUAUUCCUGUACUUGGUGUUACUGCGAAGGGGGGACGGAGAAGGCUAUGUUGGCCGGGCGACGGUUGUCCCGGUUUAAGCGUGUAGGUGUGUGUUCCAGGUAAAUCCGGUUCACUUUAACACUGAGGCGUGAUGACGAGGCACUACGGUGCUGAAGCAACAAAUGCCCUGCUUCCAGGAAAAGCCUCUAAGCAUCAGGUAACAUCAAAUCGUACCCCAAACCGACACAGGUGGUCAGGUAGAGAAUACCAAGGCGCUUGAGAGAACUCGGGUGAAGGAACUAGGCAAAAUGGUGCCGUAACUUCGGGAGAAGGCACGCUGACACGUAGGUGAAGUGAUUUACUCAUGGAGCUGAAGUCAGUCGAAGAUACCAGCUGGCUGCAACUGUUUAUUAAAAACACAGCACUGUGCAAACACGAAAGUGGACGUAUACGGUGUGACGCCUGCCCGGUGCCGGAAGGUUAAUUGAUGGGGUCAGCGCAAGCGAAGCUCCUGAUCGAAGCCCCGGUAAACGGCGGCCGUAACUAUAACGGUCCUAAGGUAGCGAAAUUCCUUGUCGGGUAAGUUCCGACCUGCACGAAUGGCGUAAUGAUGGCCAGGCUGUCUCCACCCGAGACUCAGUGAAAUUGAACUCGCUGUGAAGAUGCAGUGUACCCGCGGCAAGACGGAAAGACCCCGUGAACCUUUACUAUAGCUUGACACUGAACAUUGAGCCUUGAUGUGUAGGAUAGGUGGGAGGCUUUGAAGUGUGGACGCCAGUCUGCAUGGAGCCGACCUUGAAAUACCACCCUUUAAUGUUUGAUGUUCUAACGUGGACCCGUAAUCCGGGUUGCGGACAGUGUCUGGUGGGUAGUUUGACUGGGGCGGUCUCCUCCUAAAGAGUAACGGAGGAGCACGAAGGUUGGCUAAUCCUGGUCGGACAUCAGGAGGUUAGUGCAAUGGCAUAAGCCAGCUUGACUGCGAGCGUGACGGCGCGAGCAGGUGCGAAAGCAGGUCAUAGUGAUCCGGUGGUUCUGAAUGGAAGGGCCAUCGCUCAACGGAUAAAAGGUACUCCGGGGAUAACAGGCUGAUACCGCCCAAGAGUUCAUAUCGACGGCGGUGUUUGGCACCUCGAUGUCGGCUCAUCACAUCCUGGGGCUGAAGUAGGUCCCAAGGGUAUGGCUGUUCGCCAUUUAAAGUGGUACGCGAGCUGGGUUUAGAACGUCGUGAGACAGUUCGGUCCCUAUCUGCCGUGGGCGCUGGAGAACUGAGGGGGGCUGCUCCUAGUACGAGAGGACCGGAGUGGACGCAUCACUGGUGUUCGGGUUGUCAUGCCAAUGGCACUGCCCGGUAGCUAAAUGCGGAAGAGAUAAGUGCUGAAAGCAUCUAAGCACGAAACUUGCCCCGAGAUGAGUUCUCCCUGAGACUUAGAGUCUCCUGAAGGAACGUUGAAGACGACGACGUUGAUAGGCCGGGUGUGUAAGCGCAGCGAUGCGUUGAGCUAACCGGUACUAAUGAACCGUGAGGCUUAACCUU